UACGGAGGAUGCAAGCGUUAUCCGGAUUCAUUGGGUUUAAAGGGUGCGUAGGCGGACUAUUAAGUCAGUGGUGAAAGCCUGCAGCUUAACUGCAUAACUGCCAUUGAUACUGAUAGUCUUGAGUUUGGUUAAGGUAGGCGGAAUGUGUAAUGUAGCGGUGAAAUGCUUAGAUAUUACACAGAACACCAAUUGCGUAGGCAGCUUACUGAGCCGACACUGACGCUGAGGCACGAAAGCGUGGGGAUCGAACA
This 251-nucleotide ribosomal RNA is filed under the name uncultured prokaryote. Its description in RNAcentral is "partial 16S ribosomal RNA". It matches the Rfam family "Bacterial small subunit ribosomal RNA", at positions 524 to 774 of the family's 1533-position model. The record is from RNAcentral.